UACGGAGGGUGCUAGCGUUGUUCGGAAUUACUGGGCGUAAAGCGCACGUAGGCGGCUUGCCAAGUUGGAAGUGAAAGCCCAGGGCUCAACCUUGGAAUUGCUUUCAAAACUGGCAGGCUAGAGUUCGAUAGGGGAGAGUGGAAUUCCUAGUGUAGGGGUGAAAUCCGUAGAUAUUAGGAGGAACACCAGAGGCGAAGGCGACUCUCUGGAUCGAUACUGACGCUAAGGUGCGAAAGCGUGGGGAGCAAAC
Molecule: ribosomal RNA, 250 nt
Filed under: uncultured bacterium
Lineage: Bacteria
Description: partial 16S ribosomal RNA
Rfam family: Bacterial small subunit ribosomal RNA
Source: RNAcentral